GUGUCACAUUCUCUGGGCUCACCAGCGCCCUCUGCCUUGUAGCAUGCGUACUGCCACAAGGUGACUGUCUGCCUCACCUAGUGUGUUUUUAAAGCGCAUUUUAGUGGAUAAAAAGACUAAAUGAGUCACAAACUGGCACCAAUGUAAUCGGACAGAUGGCAAGAGAUAAGCAAAUUAGGUCAUUUUAGAAUAAAGCAUCUUUUAUGAUAAUUGAAAGACCAAAACUAUACAGCGCAUGCGUCAGCUGCAGCUACAGUCGGUGUGUGCGGCCUCACCCAGCGCUUUUUGGUGUAUUUGAACAGGGUGUCAUGAUUCUGCUCCACCCUCACCUGCCUGAUUGCUUAUUCUGAACACCUGCGCGCUCCUCUAUUUAAGACUCUUCCCCUCCAGGCUCAGUACUGGAUUGUUGUCUACUCCCUGAAGUUCUCUGUACGCACGCCUUGCUAUUUUGCCUCGUCCUCGACCCUGCUCACGCUCUGGAUUCCUGCUCCUGCCUUCACCCUUCGGUACCUCCGCCUUGGACCCACUCUGAUCUCCGUGUUGCUGACCCUCACUUCGUCCACGUCUUGCCGCCCCUGCCUCCUCCUCUGGAUAUUUCUGCCGCCCUGAAGAACCCUUGGACUCCCCCUAGUGCUUGGAGGACCUUACUGCAGACAUAAUAAACUGCUUUACUUAACUAAA
Molecule: long non-coding RNA, 681 nt
Organism: Oryzias melastigma (Indian medaka)
Lineage: Eukaryota; Metazoa; Chordata; Actinopteri; Beloniformes; Adrianichthyidae
Exons: 2
Source: RefSeq, a predicted model, not a curated record